Molecule: ribosomal RNA, 1203 nt
Filed under: Triticum aestivum (bread wheat)
Lineage: Eukaryota; Viridiplantae; Streptophyta; Magnoliopsida; Poales; Poaceae
Description: partial small subunit ribosomal RNA
Source: RNAcentral
AUGGCGGCGGAGCUGGGCGAGAUUGAGGAGCUCGUCGAGGAGAUCCUCAUCCGCCUCCCUAAGGACGAGCCUGGUAAUCUCCUCCGCUCCUCCCUCGCCUGCAAGCCAUGGCGCGACCUCCUCGCCAGCCACGCCUUCCGUCGCCACCACGGCGACUUCCACCGAACACCUCCCAUGCUUGGCUUCCUCCGCGACUGGCCGGAACUCAGCAUCGAGUUCUUCCCCACCACGGAUUUCCUGGCGCGCGGUCCCGACCCCCAGCACCAAUAUACCGUGGAAGAUUGUCGCCACGGCCGCGUCCUCCUUCGAUACUUCGAUGAGGAUGAGGAUAUGCCAUUGCUGGUCGUCUGGGACCCCAUGACGGGCAGCGAAACAGUGCUUGGCACCCUUAAAAUGUCGGAAAAGGCAAGGUCGUUUGCCUCGGUGAUCUGUGCUGCGGACAGCUGCCGCCACGGUGACUGCCAUUCCGGUCCAUUUGGCGUCGUUUUCGUCAUCCUUCACCGGGAAGAAGAGGUUGCUACGGCGUCCGUGUACUCAUCGGAGACGGGUAGUUGGAGCUCUUCGGCCGUCACCGAUGUUGGUACGUUUGAGGAUGAAAUCCAUUUCUCCAUGCCUAGUGUGCUCGCAGGAGACGCGCUCUAUUUCCUCCUUUUCCGGGGCCAGGAUGUUGAAGGUUGCAGUAUUCUCAAGUACGACCUGGGAACCUCCUGUCUGUCGGAGAUUCAUCUGUCGGAGGAGAUGCAGGAUGCCAGCGACAAUCCUAUCCUCAUGGUGGGGGAAGACGGUAGGCUGGGGAUCGCACACCUGUUCUUUUUCGGCCUCUCCGUCUGGUGGAGGGAGGUGGAUCCCGAUGGAGUUGUGUCGUGGACACAACGGAGAGACAUCGACCUCGAGACUCUUCUUCCUGCUAGUGAUUCCAUAGUAUCACCUGAGUUGGUUGGCUCCAUGGAGGGUACUGAUAUCAUUUUUGCAACCACAAAUCUCGGCACCUAUGAAAUUGAUCUCAAGUCACUGAAAUCACCUUUGAAGAUGCUCUCGAGCAAGCUGUGUCAACAUCCAGAUAUCAAAUGGACCCUCUUUCCCUACGUUAGCUUCUACUAUCCUCCAGCUCCAGCGGUGGCUGGUGUUGUGGCUGAAGCAUCAAGUGAUGAAGCUGGACAUGGCAAUGAGGAAGCAGAAGUCUCAAGAAUUGAAGAAGUUUAG